RNAcentral lists this long non-coding RNA (1108 nucleotides) under Fragaria vesca (wild strawberry). Its description in RNAcentral is "long non-coding RNA (FVES_LNC004253)". Lineage: Eukaryota; Viridiplantae; Streptophyta; Magnoliopsida; Rosales; Rosaceae. The record is from RNAcentral.
AAAAUACUCCACGGCAUUAAUUAUUCAAUCGUGAACUUUAGCAUGCAUUUAUUUAAAAUAAAAGUCCACUCACAAAUUAGGCCUAAGCCUGAUGUCGAUCUGGGGUCUCGUCUGCUCGAGCCUCCUCACGUCCUGUUCCAAAUAUAAUAUUAAUUCCCAACCAAAUAAUCCAAUAUUUAAUCAAAAUAGGCAAAAAUUACCCGAGAGCCAUAAUUACGCUCAUCAUUGCCUAACUUCGAUAUUCUUACAUCGGAACGAUCCGAACUUAAAUAUCAUACUCAACAGUCGUAAAUACAACCUCUCCAAAAUACGACUUAAAUCCUACGGCCGGAUUCUACAUUAAUUACCCGCCAAAAAUACCACACUUCGGAAAUUCACAAACCUAUCCAAAUCUCAUCCAAAAAUUCCAAAAUUCACCUCAAUAAUAUCCCCUUAAUAUUCUACAUCAAAAACCAAACAAUUUCCCAAAACAACGGCGGCGCCGCCGGCGGCUCCGCCGGCAGCGGCGGCCGGCGACCAACUCCGGCGACCUGCAAAAGCUACCAAAUUUUAACAGAAUCUUCCUCUCAAUCUCCUCUACAACUUUCAUGACUAACACAUCACCCAAUUCCAAGCCUAACUAGGCUAAUCGAACGAAAACAACUUAAACACCAUAAAACUUCCACCUCAAAUUUCUCCUUACCUAACUCAAGAGGGAGGGAGCUGCUUGGAGGGGUUGUUGCACGGGAGGAGGGCUACAAAACCGUACCAAGCUUGCCCAGAUUGGUGGCCGGAGGAGAAAGUUCCGGCGAAGUGAAGCUUUGGACAGUCGGACCUUUCGGGUGGCACCGCUCUCUCACGGCGGAGCUAGGGCUCCUCUCACCGGUCCAGGGAGGUUGCUGGGUUGGAGGUCGACCGAACGGGACCGGUGCGGCGGCGGUUGGUGGCCGGACGGCGGCGGGAGGACGGCCGGAAAACCGGGCAGCGGGAGGCUCGGGGAGAGGAAAAGAAAAAGAGGGAAGAAGAGAAAGGGAGGAGGAAAAAGAAAUGGGUUGGGCCUCCACCGGUCCAACCUAUAUCAACCCAAUUCAAAAAAAAUAAAAACACCCCGAAAAAAUAAUACCCGAAU